CGAGUGAGAAUGCCGGAAUGAGUAGCGAGAAUUAUGUGAGAAUCAUAAUGGCCGAAAAUCUAAGGUUUCCUGAGGAAGGUUCGUCCGCUCAGGGUAAGCCGGGGGCUAAGGCGAGGCGGAGACGCGUAGCCGAUGCACAUACGGUUGAAAUUCCGUAGCCACCGAAAGAUUUAAGUACAGGGACGCUUUAGAAGUGAUGUUGCCGGGCGAUGGUUGACCCGGUCGUAAGGGAUCGAAAAUGAGUAGAGAAGUCAUCAUGGAAAGAGACAAGAAAAGCUGUAUGAAUAUCUUAGGUGCCCGUACCGCAAACCGACACAGGUAGAUAGGAAGAAGAUUCUAAGGCCAACGGGAGAAGGGUUGUUAAGGAACUCGGCAAGUUGACCCCGUAACUUAGGGAUAAGGGGUGCUCAAGUGAUUGAGCCGCAGAGAAUAGGCCCAGGCGACUGUUUAGCAAAAACACAGGUCUCUGCUAAAUCGAAAGAUGACGUAUAGGGGCUGACACCUGCCCGGUGCCGGAAGGUUAAGAGGAGAUGUGAGAGCAUUGAAUUGAAGCCCCGGUAAACGGCGGCCGUAACUAUAACGGUCCUAAGGUAGCGAAAUUCCUUGUCAGGUAAGUUCUGACCCGCACGAAAGGUGUAACGAUCUGGGCACUGUCUCAACAACCCGCCCGGCGAAAUUGUAGUACCGGUGAAGAUGCCGGUUACCCGCGACUAGACGGAAAGACCCCAUGGAGCUUUACUGUAGCCUAAUAUUGGAUUUCGGUAUUUCACGUACAGGAUAGGUGGGAGACUGGGAAGCACAGGCGUCAGCUUGUGUGGAGUCGACCUUGGGAUACCACUCUUGGAGUGCUGGAAUUCUAACCUGCGGCUUUGAAGCAAGUCGGGGGACAUUGUUAGGUGGGCAGUUUGACUGGGGCGGUCGCCUCCUAAAGAGUAACGGAGGCGCUCAAAGGUUCGCUCUGCAUGGAUGGAAACCAUGCGUCAGAGUGUAAACGCAAAAGCGAGCCUAACUGCGAGAAUGACGGUUCGAGCAGUAACGAAAGUUGGAGUUAGUGAUCCGGCGGUAUGUGAAUGGAAAUGCCGUCGCUCAACGGAUAAAAGCUACCCUGGGGAUAACAGGCUGAUCUCCCCCAAGAGUCCACAUCGACGGGGAGGUUUGGCACCUCGAUGUCGGCUCAUCGCAUCCUGGGGCUGAAUUCGGUCCCAAGGGUUUGGCUGUUCGCCAAUUAAAGCGGUACGCGAGCUGGGUUCAGAACGUCGUGAGACAGUUCGGUCCCUAUCUGUCGUGGGCGUAGGAUAUUUGCAAGGAGCUGUCCCUAGUACGAGAGGACCGGGAUGGACGCACCUCUGGUGCACCAGUUGUCACGCCAGUGGCACAGCUGGGCAGCUAUGUGCGGAACGGAUAAACGCUGAAAGCAUCUAAGCGUGAAGCCGCCCUUAAGAUAAGAUCUCCUUUAAGACCCCUUGUAGACUACGAGGUUGAUAGGUCUGAUGUGUAAGCACGGUGACGUGUUUAGCUUGCAGAUACUAAUCGGUCGUUCGCUUUUCCU
Molecule: ribosomal RNA, 1549 nt
Filed under: human metagenome
Description: bacterial LSU rRNA
Rfam family: Bacterial large subunit ribosomal RNA
Source: RNAcentral